UGCUAAGGAAUCUCAGAGAUACAUUGGAAGC
Molecule: non-coding RNA, 31 nt
Filed under: Rattus norvegicus (Norway rat)
Lineage: Eukaryota; Metazoa; Chordata; Mammalia; Rodentia; Muridae
Source: RNAcentral